CUGCUGCCUUCCGUAGGAGUUUGGUCCGUGUCUCAGUACCAAUGUGGGGGGUUAACCUCUCAGUCCCCCUAUGUAUCGUCGCCUUGGUAAGCCGUUACCUUACCAACCAGCUAAUACAACGCAUGCCCAUCUGUAACCGCCGAAACUUUCAACCACAAGAGAUGCCUCUCAUAGUGUUAUGCGGUAUUAGUACCGAUUUCUCAGUGUUAUCCCCCUGUUACAGGUAGGUUGCAUACGCGUUACGCACCCGUGCGCCGGUCGCCACCAG
RNAcentral lists this ribosomal RNA (268 nucleotides) under uncultured bacterium. Its description in RNAcentral is "partial 16S ribosomal RNA". The record is from RNAcentral.